Suricata suricatta (meerkat) is the source of this 567-nucleotide long non-coding RNA. RefSeq lists it as uncharacterized. The transcript is spliced from 2 exons. Lineage: Eukaryota; Metazoa; Chordata; Mammalia; Carnivora; Herpestidae. The record is from RefSeq and is a predicted model, not a curated record.
CCUGUCACCAUGGCAACCUGUUUCCUUGGGCCCUGGGCUGUGCAUCAGAAAGGCCUCGGUCUGCUGCUGCUGUGUAUCUCGCCUGUGAUACUUACCAAAAGAGAUUAGGCCCAUCUUGAGAAGGGACCUCUCUGGACCUGUUGGGCCGGGGGAAGCGCCCGUCUCUCCUCACCUUGACACUGAGAGACACGUGUUCUGUCCACCUGGAGCUUAGAAGGGUUCUGUCUACCUCCAACCUUGUCUACCAGAAGGAAAAGACAGACAAAGUUCCUGUAAUUGAGAUAUUUUUAGGCUAGAAGCUACUGAGACGAGCCAGAGUUUCGUUCUGACUCCACGGUGGUGUGACAGACCUCAUUUCUUUCUCUGCCGCAGAAGCUUCAAACUGACUAGUCCCAUCGAGGGGACAAAGCAGGCCCAGGAGAAAAAAGAGGUGCAAAUUCUGAAUCCAUAGGAUGGAGUUUCAAAGACCUGGGGAAAAUUCUUCUCACAUACGGUGGGAGGAGGGUAGUGACUCCAAUGACUUUAUAUACAACAUCCACCGAACCUAAUAAAAACCUUCAGUGGCGA